UACGUAGGGUGCGAGCGUUAAUCGGAAUUACUGGGCGUAAAGCGUGCGCAGGCGGUUUUUUAAGACAGGCGUGAAAUCCCCGGGCUUAACCUGGGAACUGCGUUUGUGACUGGAAGGCUAGAGUAUGGCAGAGGGGGGUGGAAUUCCACGUGUAGCAGUGAAAUGCGUAGAGAUGUGGAGGAACACCGAUGGCGAAGGCAGCCCCCUGGGCCAAUACUGACGCCUCAUGCACGAAAGCGUGGGGAGCAAACAGG
RNAcentral lists this ribosomal RNA (254 nucleotides) under uncultured bacterium. RNAcentral describes it as "partial 16S ribosomal RNA". It matches the Rfam family "Bacterial small subunit ribosomal RNA", at positions 524 to 776 of the family's 1533-position model. The record is from RNAcentral.